ACGAACGCUGGCGGCAUGCCUAACACAUGCAAGUCGAACGAGACCUUCGGGUCUAGUGGCGCACGGGUGCGUAACGCGUGGGAACCUGCCCUUAGGUUCGGAAUAACUCCCCGAAAGGGGUGCUAAUACCGGAUAAUGUCUUCGGACCAAAGAUUUAUCGCCUUUGGAUGGGCCCGCGUUGGAUUAGCUAGUUGGUAGGGUAAAAGCCUACCAAGGCGACGAUCCAUAGCUGGUCUGAGAGGAUGAGCAGCCACACUGGGACUGAGACACGGCCCAGACUCCUACGGGAGGCAGCAGUGGGGAAUAUUGGACAAUGGGCGAAAGCCUGAUCCAGCAAUGCCGCGUGAGUGAUGAAGGCCUUAGGGUUGUAAAGCUCUUUUACCCGGGAUGAUAAUGACAGUACCGGGAGAAUAAGCUCCGGCUAACUCCGUG
RNAcentral lists this ribosomal RNA (432 nucleotides) under uncultured bacterium. RNAcentral's name for it is "partial 16S ribosomal RNA". It matches the Rfam family "Bacterial small subunit ribosomal RNA", at positions 29 to 507 of the family's 1533-position model. The record is from RNAcentral.